This 497-nucleotide ribosomal RNA is filed under the name uncultured bacterium. RNAcentral describes it as "partial 16S ribosomal RNA". It matches the Rfam family "Bacterial small subunit ribosomal RNA", at positions 28 to 507 of the family's 1533-position model. The record is from RNAcentral.
GAUGAACGCUGGCGGCGUGCCUAAUACAUGCAAGUCGAGCGAACAGAUGAGGAGCUUGCUCCUCUGACGUUAGCGGCGGACGGGUGAGUAACACGUGGAUAACCUACCUAUAAGACUGGGAUAACUACGGGAAACCGGAGCUAAUACUGGAUAAUAUAUUGAACCGCAUGGUUCAAUAGUGAAAGACGGUUUUGCUGUCACUUAUAGAUGGAUCCGCGCCGCAUUAGCUAGUUGGUAAGGUAACGGCUUACCGAGGCAACGAUGCGUAGCCGACCUGAGAGGGUGAUCGGCCACACUGGAACUGAGACACGGUCCAGACUCCUACGGGAGGCAGCAGUAGGGAAUCUUCCGCAAUGGGCGAAAGCCUGACGGAGCAACGCCGCGUGAGUGAUGAAGGUCUUCGGAUCGUAAAACUCUGUUAUUAGGGAAGAACAAAUGUGUAAGUAACUAUGCACGUCUUGACGGUACCUAAUCAGAAAGCCACGGCUAACUACGUG